This 531-nucleotide ribosomal RNA is filed under the name uncultured bacterium. RNAcentral describes it as "bacterial SSU rRNA". It matches the Rfam family "Bacterial small subunit ribosomal RNA", at positions 972 to 1533 of the family's 1533-position model. The record is from RNAcentral.
UACCAACCCUUGACAUCCCGUGCUACAUCCAGAGAUGGAUGGUUCCUUUCGGGGACGCGGUGACAGGUGCUGCAUGGCUGUCGUCAGCUCGUGUCGUGAGAUGUUCGGUUAAGUCCGGCAACGAGCGCAACCCACAUCCCUAGUUGCCAGCAGUUCGGCUGGGCACUCUAUGGAAACUGCCCGUGAUAAGCGGGAGGAAGGUGUGGAUGACGUCAAGUCCUCAUGGCCCUUACGGGUUGGGCUACACACGUGCUACAAUGGUGGUGACAGUGGGUUAAUCCCCAAAAACCAUCUCAGUUCGGAUUGGGGUCUGCAACUCGACCCCAUGAAGUCGGAAUCGCUAGUAAUCGCGUAACAGCAUGACGCGGUGAAUACGUUCCCGGGCCUUGUACACACCGCCCGUCACACCAUGGGAGUUGGUUUACCCGACGACGCUGCGCUAACCUUCGGGGGGCAGGCGGCCACGGUAGGAUCAGCGACUGGGGUGAAGUCGUAACAGGUAACCAGGGCGAUUCCAGCACAUGGCGCCGU